GAUGAACGCUGGCGGCGUGCCUAAUACAUGCAAGUCGAGCGAACAGACGUGGAUCUUGCUCCUCUGACGUUAGCGGCGGACGGGUGAGUAACACGUGGAUAACCUCCCUAUCAGACUGGGAUAACUUCGGGACACCGGAGCUAAUACCGGAUAAUAUAUUGAACCGGAGGGUUCAAUUGUGAAAGACGGUUUUGCUGUCACGUAUAGAUGGAACCGGGCCGCUUUUGCUAGUUGGUAAGGUAACGGCUUACCAAGUCAACGAUUCGUAGCCGACCAGAGAGAGGGAUAGUCGACACUGGAAGUGAGACACGGUCCAGACUCCUACGGGAGGCAGCAGUAGGGAAUCUUCGGCAAUGGGCGAAAGCAUGACGGAGCAACGCGGCGUGAGUUAUGAGGGUAUUCGGAUCGGAAAGCAGUGUUAUUAGGGAAGAAGAAAUGUGUAAGUAACUAUGCACGUAUUGACGGUACCUGAUCAGAAAGCAACGGCUAACUACGUG
Molecule: ribosomal RNA, 497 nt
Filed under: uncultured bacterium
Lineage: Bacteria
Description: partial 16S ribosomal RNA
Rfam family: Bacterial small subunit ribosomal RNA
Source: RNAcentral